RNAcentral lists this ribosomal RNA (690 nucleotides) under uncultured phototrophic eukaryote. Its description in RNAcentral is "bacterial SSU rRNA". It matches the Rfam family "Bacterial small subunit ribosomal RNA", at positions 65 to 800 of the family's 1533-position model. The record is from RNAcentral.
UACGAGAGUUUUGAACUCAAGUGGCGGACGGGUGAGUAACACGUAAGAAUUUGCCUCUAGGAGGGGGAUAACAACUGGAAACGGUUGCUAAUACCCCAUAUGCUUUCGAGUGAAAUGGAUUUCCGCCUAGAGAGAAGCUUGCGGCUGAUUAGCUUGUUGGUAAGGUAAUGGCUUACCAAGGCGACGAUCAGUAUCUGGUUUGAGAGGACGAUCAGACACACUGGAACUGAGACACGGUCCAGACUCCUACGGGAGGCAGCAGUGGGGAAUUUUCCGCAAUGGGCGAAAGCCUGACGGAGCAAUACCGCGUGAGGGAGGAAGGUCUAACAGAUUGUAAACCUCUUUUCUCAAGGAAGAUAAUGACGGUACUUGAGGAAUAAGCAUCGGCUAACUCCGUGCCAGCAGCCGCGGUAAUACGGAGGAUGCAAGUGUUAUCCGGAAUCACUGGGCGUAAAGCGUCUGUAGGUGGUUUAAUAAGUCAACUGUUAAAUCUUGAAGCUCAACUUCAAAAUCGCAGUCGAAACUAUUAGACUAGAGUAUAGUAGGGGUAAAGGGAAUUUCCAGUGGAGCGGUGAAAUGCGUAGAUAUUGGAAAGAACACCGAUAGCGAAAGCACUUUACUGGGCUAUUACUGACACUCAGAGACGAAAGCUAGGGUAGCAAAUGGGAUUAGAUACCCUGGUAGUCCCCU